UUUUGGAUCUUGGAUCAUGGUUGCAUCUUGGAUGAGGUUUAGAUCGUGGAUGAAGUUUGGAAGCUUUUUUUGGGUGGAAAGAUCCAAAUUUCCAAUUGGGAUGAAACAGAACUUGUGGAUUCUCCACUGCCAAACCCUGUAAAUAGGAAGGGGUGUGACAAAAUCUGACUUAAUUAAUUAAUUCAUUAAUGUGCUUUUUCAUUUUGCUGCUUUCCAGCCCAUGAAUUCCCUCUCCAGCUCUUUCCCUAAAAUCCUUUGGAACUGAUCCUGAUUUUUUUGUUUAUUUGCACUCAGUGGUGAUGAAACAUUUCAAGGCCUCUCCAGAAUUCCUAAAAAAAAAAAGGGAAUAUUUUCAAUUAAAGUCUGAAGUUUACACUUGGCUCUGUUGAGAGCAGGGAUUCCUAAAUUAUUGAUAUUCCAUAGGAAAAAUUCCCAUUUCAUCAAUCCCUACCUUUUCCAGCUAUUUUACCUCCAAGGAGCCAUUGUUAAAUAUAUUUUUUAAAUUAUUUUUUAGAUUUUAAAUAUUUUUGGUGUUGCUUUCAAAUCCAACACUUUCAGUGCAAUAUUUUCAAACAGUGAAGCUUCAAAUCCUUGGAUUCAGUGGGAAUUUUUCCCAUUUUUUUGGAAUCCAGCCUGAUUUUGGGAGAAAAAGACACCGAACCACGUCGAGGGUGUUGUUUGCAAGGUGCCAAAUGUGGAAAAAGGACCCAAAAUGGAGCUUCCGGAGACGUCGGGGAUGGCUCCCAUCUGGAACAACCUGAACUUCCCCAUGGAUCAUCAGAGGAGCCUGGAGAUUCCUGGAUUUGGGAAUUUUUCCUUACCCACAUCCUCUCCAGAGCCUUUCCAGCUCCCGGAGGGUUUUUGGACUUUUCGCUUUCCGGUGUUUCUCCAUGGAGAGCAGCGUGGGCACCUUGAUUUAUUUUUCCACCAGGAUCUGGGAUCCAGAUCUUUGUGGCAUUUCAAGAAUUCCAUCCCUGUGGCACUGAGAUCCUCCAAUUCCUUCAGGCUCAUCCCAUCUUGGCAUCAACCAGAGCAAAUUUUACCCUGGUCACUCCUUGAGCACGGGGACCACAUUCCAGGUGGAGGAAUCCAGGAUCUGGAGCCAAGGGGAAGUGAGCAGGAAUCUCUGGGAUGUCACCCCAAAACAGCAGCUCAGAAGGGUUUGGAGCACAGAAAAUGCUUCAGCUUGCUUCCAGCUGGGCUCCAGAGCUUCGCUUCCAAUGGCAUGGAAAACCAACUGGAAUACCAGAUAUAACACCUGGAUCUUUCUCUUCAUAAAUCCUGGGGAUGAUUCUGCUACAGAAGUUCACCAAGUUAUUGAAAAUAUUAAUUAUCAAUUUCACAUUACAAAUUUCAUCCAUUAAAAUAUCCAUAUUUGGGAGAACCUUUAUUUUUAACCUCUUUUCCUAUUUUUAAAGCAAUCUGCAG
This 1428-nucleotide long non-coding RNA is filed under the name Chloebia gouldiae (Gouldian finch). Its description in RNAcentral is "Erythrura gouldiae (Gouldian finch) lncRNA (ENSEGOG00005003091.1)". Lineage: Eukaryota; Metazoa; Chordata; Aves; Passeriformes; Passeridae. The record is from RNAcentral.